Labeo rohita (rohu) is the source of this 447-nucleotide long non-coding RNA. RefSeq lists it as uncharacterized. The transcript is spliced from 4 exons. Lineage: Eukaryota; Metazoa; Chordata; Actinopteri; Cypriniformes; Cyprinidae. The record is from RefSeq and is a predicted model, not a curated record.
CGCCAUUUUCAUCCCGGCUCGGAGAAUGAAAACACACAGCGGAGAUCUGACUCGUUUGUUUAAUUCAACGCAUUCUCAGCUCAUCGAUCGAAGAGACCACUAUUUCUACACUGCUUGUGCCCUCAUCUUUUCAUGGUACCCAUGCAGAUCCUCAGACAGAUACAGACACCACUGAUGCACUGACUGUGCCCUCGCUGUUCUCAUCUUGUGGUUCCCAUGUGGAGCAUCAUUCAGCAACAGGAACUACAUAGACUACCAUUUAAAAGGGUUUGAACAGUAAGAUUUUUUAUGUUUUUUUAGAGAAGUUUCUUCUGCUCACCUGCAUUUAUUUGAUCUGACGUACAGCAAAAACAUCAAAAUACUGAAAUAUUUUUUCUAUUUAAAAUAACUGCUUUCCAUAUGAAUCUGUUUUGAAAUUGUAUUUUGUUCCUGUGAUUUCAAAGCUGC